RNAcentral lists this long non-coding RNA (870 nucleotides) under Capra hircus (goat). Its description in RNAcentral is "lncRNA (ENSCHIG00000008120.1)". Lineage: Eukaryota; Metazoa; Chordata; Mammalia; Artiodactyla; Bovidae. The record is from RNAcentral.
CCACUAUUUCCAAUUUUUAAGAGACUCGUUUAUUUCACAUAAAUAUCUGAAGGAAAAAAAUGCAUAAGUAAUAUAAUUAUCUUCCUUCAUUCUCAUCAGAAGAGAGAGCAGCAUGUUAUUGUAAGAGUCCAGCUUUAAUGAUCAGACUUGAGUUCCAGUCCUUGAUCCACUCUCUGGGUGAUCUUGGCUAAUACUUUACUCUCUCUGAGCCUUCAUGUCUUCAUUUUUAAUGAAAUGGUAAAUAGUUUCUCCACCCUAAGUGAUAGCUUAAAAUUAGCUUUAAAAAUAUUAAAAACAUGGGACAUCCAGAGCAUGUAGUGUCUCUUUUUCUCUCCUUCUCCUGAAGUCUUUGGUUUCAUAUUCUUUAAAAAAAAAAAAAAGAAGAAGAAGUCCUGAACUAAAUGGAUUCAAAUGUGUGCUGUCCUUGUUUCCAGUGCCUUAGCCAAACUGAAGGAUGAUUCCAUCGUUAAUGAAAACAGGUCAUUAUAAGCAGCAUGGCCCAUUCAUCCACUAGGCAAUCUAUCAGAAUGAUCAGUAUGACUGAUCACUCCACUUAUUUUAUGGGAAGACUUCCUUGCUGCUAAAGAACCCCAGGACCCUCAUCAUGAUAAGAUUCUGAACACUGGAAGGAUUCCACAUGCCAUAUUAAAAUACAUGUGGCUCAACAAUUUAUAAGCGAUGAAAGUCCUGGAAAUGGAGGAAGCAGAAAAGACAUCACUCUCACCCUUAAGGUACAGAGAAGAACCGUGGAUGGUGAGAGAAGCACAAGCCAAAUCUGGGUACCAGCUGAAACUAGGCUUCUCCAGCUUUGUGAAUUUGGACAAGUCCCUCAACUUUUGUGAAACUGAGUUUUCCCUUGGGAAAGUGGGG